GUCUACGGCCAUGCCACCCUGUACAAGCACAAUCCUGUCUGAUCUCGGAAGCUAAGCAGGGUCAGGCCUGGUUAGUACUUGGAUGGGAGACCACCUAAGAAGACCAGAUGCUGUAGGCG
Non-coding RNA from Pteropus alecto (black flying fox), 119 nucleotides. The record is from Rfam. NCBI's taxonomy places the organism in Eukaryota, Metazoa, Chordata, Mammalia, Chiroptera, Pteropodidae.